UGGGGAAUAUUGGACAAUUGGCGAAAGCCUGAUCCAGCCAUGCCGCGUGUGUGAAGAAGGUCUUCGGAUUGUAAAGCACUUUAAGUUGGGAGGAAGGGCAGUAAGCGAAUACCUUGCUGUUUUGACGUUACCGACAGAAUAAGCACCGGCUAACUCUGUGCCAGCAGCCGCGGUAAUACAGCGGGUGCAAGCGUUAAUCGGAAUUACUGGGCGUAAAGCGCGCGUAGGUGGUUCGUUAAGUUGAAUGUGAAAGCCCCGGGCUGAGCCUGGGAACUGCAUCCGAAACUGGCGAGCUAGAGUAGGGCAGAGGGUGGUGGAAUUGCCUGUGGAGCGGGGAAAUGCGUAGAUAUAGGAAGGAACGCCAGUGGCGAAGGCGACCACCUGGGGUCAUACUGACGCUGAGGUGCGAAAGCGUGGGGAGCAAACAGG
Molecule: ribosomal RNA, 429 nt
Filed under: Pseudomonadota bacterium
Lineage: Bacteria; Pseudomonadati; Pseudomonadota
Description: Proteobacteria bacterium partial 16S ribosomal RNA
Rfam family: Bacterial small subunit ribosomal RNA
Source: RNAcentral